This 465-nucleotide ribosomal RNA is filed under the name uncultured bacterium. Its description in RNAcentral is "partial 16S ribosomal RNA". It matches the Rfam family "Bacterial small subunit ribosomal RNA", at positions 28 to 507 of the family's 1533-position model. The record is from RNAcentral.
GACGAACGCUGGCGGCGUGCUUAACACAUGCAAGUCGAACGGAAAGGCCCUGCUUGCAGGGUACUCGAGUGGCGAACGGGUGAGUAACACGUGGGUGUUCUGCCCCGCACUUCGGGAUAAGCCUGGGAAACUGGGUCUAAUACCGGAUAGGAGCCCUCCUGAGUGUGAUGGUUGGAAAGUUUUUUCGGUGUAGGAUGAGCUCGCGGCCUAUCAGCUUGUUGGUGGGGUAAUGGCCUACCAAGGCGGCGGCGGGUAGCCGGCCUGGGCGGGUGGACCGCCACAUUGGGGCUUGGAUGCGGCCCAGACCCCUACGGGGGGCAACCGUGGGGGAUAUUGGCCAAUGGGCGCGAGCCUGAUGCAGCGACGCCGCGUGGGGGAUGACGGGCUUCGGGUUGGAAACCCCUUUCGGUAGGGAAGAAGCUGUUUGUGACGGUACCGAGAUAAGAAGCACCGGCUAACUACGUG